This 460-nucleotide ribosomal RNA is filed under the name uncultured bacterium. Its description in RNAcentral is "partial 16S ribosomal RNA". It matches the Rfam family "Bacterial small subunit ribosomal RNA", at positions 338 to 795 of the family's 1533-position model. The record is from RNAcentral.
CCUACGGGGGACAGCAGUGAGGAAUAUUGGUCAAUGGACGAGAGUCUGAACCAGCCAAGUAGCGUGAAGGAUGACUGCCCUAUGGGUUGUAAACUCCUUUUAUAUGGGAAUAAAACAGGGUAUGCAUACCCUCUUGUAUGUACCAUAUGAAUAAGGAUCGGCUAACUCCGUGCCCGCAGCCGCGGUAAUACGGAGGAUCCGAGCGUUAUCCGGAUUUAGUGGGUUUAAAGGGAGCGUAGGUGGAUUGUUAAGUCAGUUGUGAAAUUUUGCGGCUCAACCGUAAAAUUGCAGUUGAAACUGGCAGUCUUGAGUACAGUAGAGGUGGGCGGAAUUCGUGGUGUAGCGGUGAAAUGCUUAGAGAUCACGAAGAACUCCGAUUGCGAAGGCAGCUCACUGGACUGCAACUGACACUGAUGCUCGAAAGUGUGGGUAUCAAACAGGAUUAGAUACCCGAGUAGUC